GGACCCCUAGCUCAGUGGUAGAGCGUAAGAUUCCAGCUUUGUAUUGCGUUUCUCUCAUAUGAGAUUUCGGAAUAAGCGCCUCCUUAAGGUCAUCCGUUCAAUCCGGGUGGGGUUCA
Non-coding RNA from Irpex rosettiformis, 116 nucleotides. The record is from the annotation of a GenBank genome assembly. NCBI's taxonomy places the organism in Eukaryota, Fungi, Basidiomycota, Agaricomycetes, Polyporales, Irpicaceae.